Molecule: ribosomal RNA, 881 nt
Filed under: Woldaia nebulosa
Lineage: Eukaryota; Metazoa; Arthropoda; Insecta; Hemiptera; Liviidae
Description: Diclidophlebia nebulosa partial small subunit ribosomal RNA
Source: RNAcentral
UGUUAGGUCAAGGUGCAGUUUAUAAAAGGUUAUAAUGGGUUACAUUAAAAAUUAUGAAUGGAUUUUAUAUAUGGUAAAUAAUUUAAAUAGGAUUUAAAAGUAAAAGUUGUUUAUUAGAAACGUGAUGAAUUUAGAUUCUAAAAUAUGUACACAUUGCCCGUCGCUCUUGUUGAAAAUAAGAUAAGUCGUAACAUAGUAGAAGCACCGGAAGGUGCUUCUGGAAUUAAUGGGAGUAAAUAGUUUAAUUUAAAAUGUAUUAUUUACAUUGAUGAGAUAUUGUUUUUGAUUUUACUUUUAGGUAUUAGUUAAAGAAUUAAUUGAUAAUAUACUUUGAAGGGGGGGGGAGAACACUUUAAAGUAUAUUAAAAGAAAUUUAAUUAAUUGUACCUUUUGUAUCAGGAAUAAUUAAAAUUAUUUUUGUAGUAAAAUUUUCUCGAAAAAGAAAGAGUUAAAUUUAUAUUAUUUUUAUUGUUUCAUAAUUAAUUUUAAUAUAUUUUUAGGAGUGAUAUAUUAUUCAUUUUCUUAUAUCUAGUUAUUUUUGGAAUUAAUUUAAUUAUUUAUUUUUUUGUUUAAUAAUUGUUAAAAAUUAAUUUAGGGAUAAGCUUGAAUUAAGUUUUAUAGAAGGUGAACUAUAAGACAUAUUUUGAGCUUAAAAUUAGCUAUUAAUUAAUUGUUAUGUAAAAAUUAAUUGUUGAAUAUUAUUAUUUUUAGUUUUCUUUGGAGGGGAGCCAAAGUUAAUUAAUUAAAUAAUGUAAUUAGUGAAAAAAUGGUUGUAUUAGUAGAUCGGUUUAUUAAUUAAUAAGAAUUCGGCUAUAUUAAAUUUCGUCUGUUUAUCAAAAACAUUUUGUGAGUUUAUAUGUUUAUAAUAUUGCCUGCUCUAU